RNAcentral lists this ribosomal RNA (835 nucleotides) under uncultured Inocybe. Its description in RNAcentral is "eukaryotic LSU rRNA". Lineage: Eukaryota; Fungi; Basidiomycota; Agaricomycetes; Agaricales; Cortinariaceae. The record is from RNAcentral.
UAAAAGUCGUAACAAGGUUUCCGUAGGUGAACCUGCGGAAGGAUCAUUAUWGAAUAAACUUGAACAGGCUGUUGCUGGUCUCCCUUUGGGGGGGCAUGUGCACGCUUGUCAUCUUUAUUUCUCCAACUGUGCACAUAUUGUAGACCUGGAGUCGUCUUUGUUGAUUCAUUUCGAGUUGGCACUGCAGCGCUCACAAACCUGCUUUGCCUUUUUGCAUUCCCAGGUCUAUGUCAUUUUCACAACCUCAAUUGUGUUUAGAAUGUUGAAUCAGGUUUUGAUACCUAUAAAGUUAAAUAUACAACUUUCAGCAACGGAUCUCUUGGCUCUCGCAUCGAUGAAGAACGCAGCGAAAUGCGAUAAGUAAUGUGAAUUGCAGAAUUCAGUGAAUCAUCGAAUCUUUGAACGCAUCUUGCGCUCCUUGGUAUUCCGAGGAGCAUGCCUGUUUGAGUGUCAUUUCUAGUUCUCAACUGCGUCGAUUUCUUAUYGAUGUGGCUUGGAUGUGGGGGAUUUAGCAGGCUUUCUGUCAAAGGAGGUCGGCUCCCCUGAAAAAUAUUAGUGGUAUYUGAGCUACUACAGGUGUGAUAAUUAUCUAUGCCUUCAGUAUGCUAUUGCACUGCUUCCAACGAGUGAGAGAGAGGUUCUCUCUCACAUUUGACGAAUUUGACCUCAAAUCAGGUAGGACUACCCGCUGAACUUAAGCAUAUCAAUAAGCGGAGGAAAAGAAACUAACAAGGAUUCCCCUAGUAACUGCGAGUGAAGCGGGAAAAGCUCAAAUUUGAAAUCUGGCGGUCUUUUGACCGUCCGAGUUGUAAUCUAGAGAAGUGUUACCUGUGCU